RNAcentral lists this ribosomal RNA (748 nucleotides) under cyanobacterium enrichment culture clone 2_4_2.4.5_G04-T7. RNAcentral describes it as "bacterial SSU rRNA". It matches the Rfam family "Bacterial small subunit ribosomal RNA", at positions 8 to 798 of the family's 1533-position model. The record is from RNAcentral. Lineage: Bacteria; Bacillati; Cyanobacteriota.
AGAGUUUGAUCCUGGCUCAGGAUGAACGCUGGCGGUCUGCUUAACACAUGCAAGUCGAACGGGUCCUUUCGGGGAUUAGUGGCGGACGGGUGAGUAACGCGUGAGAAUCUGCCUUCAGGUUCGGGACAACAGCUGGAAACGGCUGCUAAUACCGGAUGUGCCGAGAGGUGAAAGCUUAAGUGCCUGGAGAUGAGCUCGCGUCUGAUUAGCUAGUAGGAGUGGUAAUGGCACCCCUAGGCGACGAUCAGUAGCUGGUCUGAGAGGAUGAUCAACCACACUGGGACUGAGACACGGCCCAGACUCCUACGGGAGGCAGCAGUGGGGAAUUUUCCGCAAUGGGCGCAAGCCUGACGGAGCAAGACCGCGUGAGGGAAGAAGGUCUGUAGAUUGUAAACCUCUUUUGAUCGGGAAGAAGACAGUGACGGUACCGAUCGAAUCAGCCUCGGCUAACUCCGUGCCAGCAGCCGCGGUAAUACGGAGGAGGCAAGCGUUAUCCGGAAUUAUUGGGCGUAAAGCGUCCGUAGGUGGGUCACCAAGUCAGUUGUUAAAUAGUGAAGCUUAACUUCAUAGAGGCGACUGAAACCGGUUAUCUAGAGUGUGGUAGGGGUAGAGGGAAUUUCCAGUGUAGCGGUGAAAUGCGUAGAUAUUGGAAAGAACACCGGUGGCGAAAGCGCUCUACUGGGCCUGCACUGACACUGAGGGACGAAAGCUAGGGGAGCGAAAGGGAUUAGAUACCCCUGUAGUCCUA